RNAcentral lists this non-coding RNA (48 nucleotides) under Schistosoma margrebowiei. The record is from RNAcentral. Lineage: Eukaryota; Metazoa; Platyhelminthes; Trematoda; Strigeidida; Schistosomatidae.
GUCCAGCUGACGAGUCCCAAACAGGACGAAACGCGCGUCGAACUGUAU